RNAcentral lists this ribosomal RNA (500 nucleotides) under uncultured bacterium. RNAcentral describes it as "partial 16S ribosomal RNA". It matches the Rfam family "Bacterial small subunit ribosomal RNA", at positions 30 to 522 of the family's 1533-position model. The record is from RNAcentral.
AUUGAACGCUGGCGGCAGGCUUAACACAUGCAAGUCGAGCGGGGGAAGGUAGCUUGCUACUGGACCUAGCGGCGGACGGGUGAGUAAUGCUUAGGAAUCUGCCUAUUAGUGGGGGUCAACAUCUCGAAAGGGAUGCUAAUAACGCAUACGUCCUACGGGAGAAAGCAGGGGAUCUUCGGACCUUGCGCUAAUAGAUGUGUCUAAGUCGGAUUAGCUAGUUGGGGGGGUAAAGGCCUACCAAGGCGACGAUCUGUAGCGGGUCUGAGAGGAUGAUCCGCCACACUGGGACUGAGACACGGCCCAGACUCCUACGGGAGGCAGCAGUGGGGAAUAUUGGACAAUGGGGGGAACCCUGAUCCAGCCAUGCCGCGUGUGUGAAGAAGGCCUUAUGGUUGUAAAGCACUUUAAGCGAGGAGGAGGCUACUUUAGUUAAUACCUAGAGAUAGUGGACGUUACUCGCAGAAUAAGCACCGGCUAACUCUGUGCCAGCCGCCGCAUAA